GCACGUUAAAGAAAAUGUAUAUCUACAUCUGCUGUGACAUGAGUAUGAAAAAUACACUUUAAGACCUGAUAUCGGCAAAAGGUGCAACAGCAUGGAUCCAUAGUGGUGUUAGGCUAAGUUUAGGAUUAAAAAUUAACUGCUUUAGUCAGACAUUUUGACCUUGUGGGGACAUUUUAUCUUUAAAGGGCUUUUGUUUAAGCCUAAGUUAUGGUUAAGUCAGGCAUUUAUUUGUGACGGUUAAGGUAAGGGUAAGGGUUUGUGUGUGUUCCAGGUAUUCCUCAUCUUGUGGGGACCUGUUUACAUGAAACUCAAGUCCCCAUGGGUUGAGGUUAGGGUGAAGUUAAGGUCAGUAUUAGUUAUGGUUAAGGUAAGAGCGAGUGACCCUAAGUCUCCAGGUCGCGGACAUAAGUCCGAGUCAUGUCGUCUGAAGUCAUGGAAACCAGACUUUGUGGUUUCCGUGCUUCCUGGGUGUUCUCAAUAAUGAGUUGGUUUCUUCACCCCAGGAUUGAUGAGAGUGUUUGCUUUGAAAUGUCAGGGGGAAAAUAGACUUUGUGUCUGGGUUCCCGAGGCAGCAAUGAGUCAAACUAAAGCAGUGUUGUGCAGGAUUUCAGCCGGUGGCUGCCUGUACGCUGUCAACACGAUGAAAGUGCACAGGCUCAAUUUCAAAACAUGGCAAAAGCUAAUUAACUGUAACUGGUGUUGACUGUGAUUUACAGCGCAUUUACCUGUGAGGAGAGAUGAUCGAAAGGCUGCUCAGUCUGCUCGCGUCUGCCAUCUUCAAAUGAGAUUAGAUUCUCUGAUUAGAUUUGACUUUAUUGAUCCCACAGUGGAGAAAUUCACUUUGUUAGAGCAGCAGAGGAGUGAGAGGAAGACAAGCAACAAAAUACAACAGCGUUUAAAAUAAAGAAUAUACAAACUCAAAAAUACAGUAAGCAGUACUAUAAAAAAAGAAAAAUAUGUGAGAAGUGUUAAAAAUAUCAAUCUCUAUCUUUUUUGACCUUUGGCAAAUUAUUAUAUAUUUUUAAAGUUACAUUUUUGCACUCAAACUUAGACACUAAAACUUUAUUUUUCCAUCAAGAACUCUAUUUUAAAUUAUAUUAUUAUACGUUCCUUUUUUAUGUGUUUAAAAAUGCAGAUUGGAGAGACUACGCACUACAGCAGGGUUUCCCAAACACUGGGUCGAGACCCACACAUGGGUCGCAGGAGAUUGUUUUUGGGUCCCAAAACCAGUUUGCUGAAUUUUUGCAAACUUUGUAUGUAUUUGUUUAAAGUAACAUACAUGAAAUGAAGUUGUAAUUAAUUUACCAAACAUUUCUUGAAAACGUUUUAUUUAACAAGUCAAAGUAAUAUUAUUAGUUAUUAUGACAAAUGAGCUCUUUUCACAACUUAUAUUGUGAUUUGGUCGUUACCUUUAAAAAGUCUGUUCUGUAUAAAUUUUAACUAAACGUUUGGGAAAAUUCUGCUCAUUUUUUUGGGGACACAAGAAAAUUGUCCCACGACCAAGCUGUGGUCCCCAAACCAGACUUUGGUCACUGAUAUAGAGUAGUUUUAGUUAAAUAUAUAAAGUAUUGUUCCUCAUGUUCUUUGUUCCUUACAUGUUCCUUAAAGGUUCCUCAUGUUCCUUAUGUUCCUUACAUGUUCCUUAAAGUUUCUCCAUGUUCCUUAAAGGUUCCUCAUGUUCCUUACAUGUUCCUUAAAGGUUCUUCAUGUUCCUUACUUGUUCCUUACAUGUUCCUUAAAGGUUCCUCAUGUUCUUUAUGUUCCUUACAUGUUCCUUAAAGGUUCCACAUGUUCCUUAAAGGUUUCUCAUGUCCCUUACUUGUUCCUUAAAGGUUCCUCAUGUUCUUUAUGUUCAUUACAUGUUCCUUAAAGGUUCCACAUGUUCCUUAAAGGUUUCUCAUGUUCCUUACUUGUUGAACGACAAAUAAAGCUCCUUGAUCCUGAACACA
Molecule: long non-coding RNA, 1949 nt
Organism: Solea senegalensis (Senegalese sole)
Lineage: Eukaryota; Metazoa; Chordata; Actinopteri; Pleuronectiformes; Soleidae
Exons: 2
Source: RefSeq, a predicted model, not a curated record